GGUAAUGUAGCUUAGUUGGUAGAGUACUAGCCUAGAAGGUACUAGGUCCUGGGUUUGAUUCCCCAGUACCA
Cricetulus griseus (Chinese hamster) is the source of this 71-nucleotide non-coding RNA. The record is from Rfam. NCBI's taxonomy places the organism in Eukaryota, Metazoa, Chordata, Mammalia, Rodentia, Cricetidae.